RNAcentral lists this ribosomal RNA (170 nucleotides) under uncultured bacterium. RNAcentral's name for it is "partial 16S ribosomal RNA". It matches the Rfam family "Bacterial small subunit ribosomal RNA", at positions 338 to 505 of the family's 1533-position model. The record is from RNAcentral.
CCUACGGGAGGCAGCAGUGAGGAAUAUUGGGCAAUGCCCGAAAGGGUGACCCAGCAACGCCGCGUGGAGGAUGAAUGCCGUAAGGUUGUAAACUCCUGUUAGAGGGGAAGAAUAAUCCCGAUCGACUCGGGACAUGACUGUACCCUCAGAGAAAGCUCCGGCUAACUACG